GCCACACACACAAUCUCUGUCUCUCCAUCUCUCUGUGUGUGUGCGCCUCACUCUCUGUCUGUCUGUCUCUCUCUCUCUCUAUCGUCUUGUCUCUGCUAUCUCGCUGUGCACUUCUCUGUCUCUCUCCUCUUUCACUGUCUCUUUGGUCUUUGUGUGUGUGUGUGCCCCUCUCUGUCUCUGCCUCCCUCUGUGUGUGCUUCUGCCUUUCUCUCUCUCCGUCGCUCCCUGUGACCGUCGACCCCCCACCCCCUCUGCACCGCCCCUCCCCCCGCCUUUUCCUCCAUCUCUCUUACUCUCUAUCCGAGCCUCUCCACCCGCUCAGCAGGGAGCGUUGUGAGUUUCUUUCGAACAAAGUUUAAAGAUCUCUGUUUGAACCCAAGCCAUCCGCAAUCAGACUGCAUUUCUAAUCCCCCCCCCCGCCCUCUCUCUCUCUCACACACACACACACACACACAGUCUGUCUCUUUCUCCCUUUCAGUCAAUCCCCUUCCUCUCUUGGUCCUACUCAAGCCUUUUCCCACCCCCGACUCUGCCUCGGCGAUGAGUCCGCUGUCUGGAUCCCUUUUCCCAGGCGUGGGCUGAGGACCCAGCGGUUCGGCAGCGGGGAUCAUCGCACCACGCUCCCGGACCCCUACAACCUCCUGUUCUCCAGCGGCCUCCAGCAUGACCACCGGGCUGGGAGCAGGCAUCCGGGCUGCCGGAGCGCUCGCUGCUCAGUGGCUCAGCCCUGCGCCGCCUUUGCCGGGAGCGGGGAUCCGAGGUGGGAGAAGGCCUCUUCGCCCGGCUCCUGGGCACAGCUACCUGCCUGAAUAGCUGCCUGGCACCGAGCCUGCGCUCCCCGAGCACCCGGCCGCGGGUCCGCGACGCCUUCCGGGGCUGAGUAGCCGAAAACUAUCUCCUACUGCAAGGGUAAGGACUGCCUGCAAAAUCUGAGAUUGGGCUUUGAAAGACAUCAACCUUUGCUUGCGAGAGAUAAUGGUAACUGCAGAUGCUAGAGAAUGCGAGAUAACAAUGUGUGGAGCUGGAUGAACACAGCAGGCCAAGCAGCAUCUCAGGAGCACAAAAGCUGACAUUUCGGGCCUCGACCCUUCAUGCGAGAGAACGUAACGUUUUUAAAGAAGAAAUUGCCCCAGUCAAACAAGAAGUCAAAAUAUUAAAUGAUCUGGCCAGUCAAUUAUCUCCGCUUGAUGUCUCUUUCUCUCCAAAGAUUUCUCACCAGCUUGAUGACCUAAAUAUGAGGUUGAAAUUUAUACAGCAGCAGGAGGUGAGGAGGCAGAGACUGCAACCCUGAGGUCACGGACGGAAGGAAAAGAGGCUCUUACUUGGAGAUUGAGAAGCAGGAGAGGGCACAACCCAGAGGUUUGGGAGUGGAGAGAGGCUGCAAGUUGGAGGUCAAGGUGAGGAGAGGCACCAGUUGAUGUUGUAGAUUAAAUGUAAUACAGAAAAUUGUGAAGUUUGGUUCGAAAAACAGUACAUAAAACAGAAGGAACCAUUCUAAAUGGGUGCAGAAGCAGACCGGUUUUGCUGUUCUGUGCAUAAACCAUUCAGUUAAACCACAGCUAGUCUGAGCUUCAACUCUGUUUACCUGCUGAAAAGGCAUGUCGACUGAAAACAUUAGCUUGCUUUCUCUCCAUGGCUGCUGCCUGACCUACUGUGGUCUCCGGCAUUUUUUGUCGUCAGUCUGUUUACCUCCCUUUCUUCUAUAUCCUUUCAUAGCCUUAGCUAUCAAAAAUAAUUUCAGUCACACUCAUUCUUAUUGAUCCAGCACCCACAUUCUUUUAUGAGAGAGUAUUUGAGAUCUUGACUGUUGUUUGUAUUAAGAUAAAAGUGCUUCCUGAUUUCAGUUCUGAAUGGCUUGCCAUUGAAUCUCAUAUAUUAAUAGAUAAUACUUCUGAUAAGAAAUGUUUUCAGAGUGUUAUAGUGGAAGCUUCUAUGUUCUGUGCAUCCUCUAUCUAGCCACCAGACUCAGAGUACCUGUUGGGACCA
Long non-coding RNA from Stegostoma tigrinum, 1986 nucleotides. RefSeq lists it as uncharacterized. The record is from RefSeq and is a predicted model, not a curated record. Lineage: Eukaryota; Metazoa; Chordata; Chondrichthyes; Orectolobiformes; Stegostomatidae. The transcript is spliced from 4 exons.